AUAAUCUGUGCUUCGUUCUUUGGUGCGGAUUGUCUACUGGUAUAUUCCUCAUUGGUUAGCAGACAGCAAGCAUCUUCGUUUAUCUCACCAAGAUCCCAACGCUGCCGCCUAGACAGUUGUACCACAUGACUCAGACGCUGCUGCUGUUUCCGCCCUCUCCAGCCCACAGAAAAGACGGCCAGAACAGCGAUGCUUACACAAAACUAUCCUCGGAAUUAUCGCGUCUCGUCAAACAGUCGCGAAAACUUGAAGCGAGCUCCAAAAUAUCCUGCCUGGGAAUUGUCAACGAUUCUCCAAAUAAACGUUUCAUCAGAAGCGAGAAAGUUGCUGCAACUUGCAGUAGGACGGCUGCUGUCAACAUUUGAGAAAAGGAUUUGUCUCUCCCGAACUUCAAACGAGACAGAUAAUGGUGGGUCAACAUAACGCUUCUUUCAUCUUUAUUUGUGUGUUUGUGUUGGAGAGAUGAAUUCUUAAU
This is a long non-coding RNA of Macrobrachium nipponense, 475 nucleotides long. RefSeq lists it as uncharacterized. Lineage: Eukaryota; Metazoa; Arthropoda; Malacostraca; Decapoda; Palaemonidae. The transcript is spliced from 3 exons. The record is from RefSeq and is a predicted model, not a curated record.